This is a long non-coding RNA of Clupea harengus (Atlantic herring), 1106 nucleotides long. Lineage: Eukaryota; Metazoa; Chordata; Actinopteri; Clupeiformes; Clupeidae. The record is from Ensembl.
UGUAGCUGAACACGGCCACUACUGGGUGACAGGAGUGAGCGGAGCUUCUGAUUGACAGGAGAACUUCAGGAACCUUAAAUGGAGUUAUAGAAAAACUGUAGGAAUAAAAUCUAAGCAGAUUUGACAUAAAACACAAAAUGGGAGAACAGAACACAGGCAGGAAGUGGCAUUUUAUUUGGUGAAUAUUUCGCUUGAAGGCGUGUUAAAGGGAAAGAACUGAAACAUUGAUUGUAGUGUGUGGCUGUAAGGAUAGGAGUCUCCCUACCUCAGUUCAAGCAGCAGUGAUAGUAAGCAAGUCACACACAUACGCACACACACACACACAUGCGCACACACACACACACAGUUCCAUGACCAUGACAAUAUAAGGAAGUAGGCGAGUGACACACAGUGACAGAUCAUGACCAUCAUGAUUGACAGGAGCUUGGUGACAUAAUUACCAUCCAUCUCAUUUUUCUCACGGCUACAGCACAGAGUCUCUCACACACACACACACACACACACACACACACACACACACACACACCAACCCUCUCAUGGCUACAGCACAGAGGACCAGGGGGGAGCAGGUCUCACACACACACACACACACACACAUCAACCCUCUCAUGGCUACAGCACAGAGGACCAGGGGGAAGCAGGUCUCACACACACACACACACACACCUUUAAAUGUUAAGAGAUGACAACUAAUCCUUUAAAUGUGAAGAGAUGAAGACUAACCCUUUAAAUGUUAAGAGAUGGUGACUAACCCUUUAAAUGUUAAGAGAUGAAGACUAACCCUUUAAAUGUUAAGAGAUAGUGAUAUGGAGAUGAAGACUAACCCUUUAAAUGUUAAGAGAUGAAGACUAACGCUUUAAAUGUUAAGAGAUGAAGACUAACCCUUUAAAUGUUAAAAGAUGAAGACUAAUCCUUUAAAUGUUAAGAGAUGAAGACUAACUGUCUUACUUUCUUUAUGAACGACCAGGCAUGAGUAGUGACCACUCCCACCAGUUGGGACAUGGCAUGGUGAGAGACUGAGGGGGUAACUGACCUGGCAGGGUGAGAGUGAGAGACUGUGUGUGUGUGUGUGUGUGUGUGUGUGUGUGUGUGUGUGUGUGUGUGUG